GGUUAACGCUGGCGGCGUGCCUAACACAUGCAAGUCGAACGGUUCUAAGCGCGAGCUUAGGAUAGUGGCGAACGGGUGAGUAAAAGGUAGGAAUCUACCCCUUGGACGGAGAUAGCUACUGGAAACGGUAGGUAAACUUCGAUAAGCCCGAGAGGGGAAAGUGGUGAGACAGCCGAGGGAUGAGCCUACUCUCCAUCAGGUAGUUGGUGAGAUAAAAGCUUACCAAGCCGAUGACGGAUAACCGGUGUGAGAGCAUGAACGGUCACAAGGGCACUGAGAGACGGGCCCUACUCCUACGGGAGGCAGCAGUGGGGAAUCUUGGACAAUGGGCGAAAGCCUGACCGAGCGACGCCGCGUGAGGGACGAAGGCCUUCGGGUUGUAAACCUCUGUCUGGGGGAGUGAGAACGGACGGUACCCCCGGACGGAAGCCCGGCUAACUACGUG
Molecule: ribosomal RNA, 445 nt
Filed under: uncultured bacterium
Lineage: Bacteria
Description: bacterial SSU rRNA
Rfam family: Bacterial small subunit ribosomal RNA
Source: RNAcentral